Molecule: unclassified non-coding RNA, 348 nt
Filed under: soil metagenome
Description: partial contains 5.8S ribosomal RNA, internal transcribed spacer 2, and large subunit ribosomal RNA
Rfam family: 5.8S ribosomal RNA (bases 1-120)
Source: RNAcentral
GAUGAAGAACGCAGCGAAAUGCGAUAAGUAAUGUGAAUUGCAGAAUUCAGUGAAUCAUCGAAUCUUUGAACGCACAUUGCGCCCGCCAGUAUUCUGGCGGGCAUGCCUGUCUGAGCGUCAUUUCAACCCUCAUGCCCCUAGGGCGUGGUGUUGGGGAUCGGCCAAAGCCCGCGAGGGACGGCCGGCCCCUAAAUCUAGUGGCGGACCCGUCGUGGCCUCCUCUGCGAAGUAGUGAUAUUCCGCAUCGGAGAGCGAUGAGCCCCUGCCGUUAAACCCCCAACUUUCCAAGGUUGACCUCAGAUCAGGUAGGAAUACCCGCUGAACUUAGGCAUAUCAAUAAGCGGAGGA